UUUUGGAUUUGGGAUUUAGGGUUUAUUUAGGAUCUAGGGUUUGGAUUAGGGUUUGAUUUAGGAUUUAAGAGUUGAUUUAGGAUUUGGGAUUUAGGAUUUUUUUAGGGUGUAGGAUUUGGUUAGACUUUGGUUUAGGAUUAGGGUUUGGUUAGACUUUGGUUUUGGAUUAGGGUUUGGUUUAGGAUUAGGAUUUGAUUUAGGAUUGAAGAUUUGGAUUAGGAUUUGAUUAGGGUUUGAUUUAGGGUUAAGGAUUUGGUUAGGAUUUGAUUAAGGAUUUGAUUGGGAUUUCGUUUAAGGUUUGUUUAGGGUUUGAUUUAGAAUUUAGGAUUUUAUUAGGAUUUAAGAUUCAAUUAAUUUUGGCCUAAAGUGUGAAUGAAGCUCAAUACUAUUUUAACUAGAAUUAAAUUAAGAUUGAAUUGAGAUAUAUUUGAGUGAUAUUUGUGAUCCGUCUAAUAAUUCUUUAAGAAUUUUUAUUAUUUGUUUGAAAUUUCUUUGAGGUUUUUUUGAAUUUGAAUAAGCUUGUUAAGCAUUAUUAUGGUCAAAUUAAAGCAUUGUUAUUAUUCUAUUAGAAU
This 572-nucleotide long non-coding RNA is filed under the name Physcomitrium patens. RNAcentral's name for it is "long non-coding RNA (PPAT_LNC006519)". Lineage: Eukaryota; Viridiplantae; Streptophyta; Bryopsida; Funariales; Funariaceae. The record is from RNAcentral.